This 393-nucleotide long non-coding RNA is filed under the name Gossypium barbadense (sea-island cotton). RNAcentral's name for it is "long non-coding RNA (GBAR_LNC006036)". Lineage: Eukaryota; Viridiplantae; Streptophyta; Magnoliopsida; Malvales; Malvaceae. The record is from RNAcentral.
UCUUAAGGCUGUGAUUAAGUGCAUUGAAGAACAUAAUCUAGAGGAGCAAUACCCUGUCGAUCCACUUCAGAAACGAGUUCUCCUGUUAGAGAAAGCAAAAGCAGACAAGAAAAGGGCAACCGAAGUUGCAAAGCCUCAACCCAAGAGGCCUCGUGCUAAUGGUGCCGGAUAUGGUCCUCGAGUCACUAAUAUAGCUGCUGACAAAACAUUUUAUCCCAGAGUCACUGACAGGUACAUGCAGUACGUGUAUGACAGACCCUAUGUUUACGCCGGACCUGCUGACAACCACAGCCACUCUCUUCUUGCUUCUGCUACCUACAACUUCUCUCCUAGUCAUGGGAACUACUUCGGAAACGGGUACCAGUAUCAGACUCCGUAUCUUCACUAAUUCCC